This 876-nucleotide ribosomal RNA is filed under the name uncultured archaeon. RNAcentral's name for it is "bacterial SSU rRNA". It matches the Rfam family "Archaeal small subunit ribosomal RNA", at positions 441 to 1315 of the family's 1478-position model. The record is from RNAcentral.
GCUGGGCAAGACCCGGUGCCAGCCGCCGCGGUAAUACCCGGCAGCUCGAGUGAUGGCCGAUCUUAUUGGGCCUAAAGCGUCCCGUAGCUGGCUUUUCAAGUCCGUCGGGAAAUCUCCCCGCUCAACGGGGAGGCGUCCGGCGGAAACUGAAGAGCUUGGGACCGGAAGGCGUGACGGGUACGUCCGGGGUAGGAGUGAAAUCCUGUAAUCCUGGACGGACCGCCGAUGGGGAAACCACGUCACGAGGACGGAUCCGACAGUGAGGGACGAAAGCUAGGGUCUCGAACCGGAUUAGAUACCCGGGUAGUCCUAGCCGUAAACGAUGCCUGUUAGGUGUGACUCCCACUACGAGUGGGUGUUGUGCCGUAGGGAAGCCGCUAAACAGGCCGCCUGGGAAGUACGUCCGCAAGGAUGAAACUUAAAGGAAUUGGCGGGGGAGCACUACAACCGGAGGAGCCUGCGGUUUAAUUGGACUCAACGCCGGACAUCUCACCAGCAUCGACUGUAGUAAUGACGAUCAGGUUGAUGACCUUAUCCGAGCUUCAGAGAGGAGGUGCAUGGCCGCCGUCAGCUCGUACCGUGAGGCGUCCUGUUAAGUCAGGCAACGAGCGAGACCCGCAUCCUUACUUGCCAGCAGCAUCGCGAGAUGGCUGGGGACAGUAGGGAGACCGCCGCUGCUAAAGCGGAGGAAGGAACGGGCAACGGUAGGUCAGUAUGCCCCGAAUGUGCUGGGCAACACGCGGGCUACAAUGGCCGAGACAGAGGGUUCCAACCCCGAGAGGGGACGGUAAUCUCAGGAACUCGGUCGUAGUUGCGGAUUGUGGACUGAAACUCGUCCACAUGAAGCUGGAUUCGGUAGUAAUCGCGGUCAGAGCG